UCCUGGUGGCUUAGAUGGUAAAGCAUCUGCCUGCAAUGCGGGAGACCUGGGUUUGAUCCCUGGGUCGGGAA
Molecule: transfer RNA, 71 nt
Filed under: Bos taurus (domestic cattle)
Lineage: Eukaryota; Metazoa; Chordata; Mammalia; Artiodactyla; Bovidae
Also listed under: 3 other names
Rfam family: tRNA
About the family: Transfer RNA (tRNA) molecules are approximately 80 nucleotides in length. Their secondary structure includes four short double-helical elements and three loops (D, anti-codon, and T loops). Further hydrogen bonds mediate the characteristic L-shaped molecular structure. tRNAs have two regions of fundamental functional importance: the anti-codon, which is responsible for specific mRNA codon recognition, and the 3' end, to which the tRNAs corresponding amino acid is attached (by aminoacyl-tRNA synthetases). tRNAs cope with the degeneracy of the genetic code in two manners: having more than one tRNA (with a specific anti-codon) for a particular amino acid; and 'wobble' base-pairing, i.e. permitting non-standard base-pairing at the 3rd anti-codon position.
Source: Rfam by way of RNAcentral